AGUGGCGGACGGGUGAGUAACGCGUGGGUAACCUACCUCAUACAGGGGGAUAACAGUUGGAAACGACCGCUAAUACCGCAUAACCCGCUAGUAUCGCAUGAUACGGACGGAAAAGAUUUAUCGGUAUGAGAUGGACCCGCGUCUGAUUAGCCAGUUGGCAGGGUAAUGGCCUACCAAAGCAACGAUCAGUAGCCGGCCUGAGAGGGUGAACGGCCACAUUGGGACUGAGACACGGCCCAAACUCCUACGGAAGGCAGCAG
Molecule: ribosomal RNA, 260 nt
Filed under: uncultured bacterium
Lineage: Bacteria
Description: partial 16S ribosomal RNA
Rfam family: Bacterial small subunit ribosomal RNA
Source: RNAcentral